Molecule: long non-coding RNA, 336 nt
Filed under: Equus asinus (donkey)
Lineage: Eukaryota; Metazoa; Chordata; Mammalia; Perissodactyla; Equidae
Description: lncRNA (ENSEASG00005032927.1)
Source: RNAcentral
UCAUCCCGCACGAAGCCUGGUCCAAGGUGGGGCGGGCGUUCGGAGGUCAGCCCAGCUCGUGAUGAGAGAGCACGGCCGCGCUCCCCAGGCUCUCUGACCUCACUGCACCAUUUGUACUUUUGGCAAGUGUCACUUGUCAAGACUCAGACUUUGAUUCAGCAACCAGGAAACCAUGAGGAAUGUGACUGAGGAAAGCAUACAAGAAGAGAUCUUCGGCCUAGUUUUCAAUCUCCGAGUAAUGCGACGGGUAAACUUAGGGCACUCCAUGAUGUUCACACAAGGACGAAAUCACCUAACAACGCAUUUCUCAGAACGUGUCCCCGUCCUUAAUUGACG